GGGGGUGUCCCCAAUUCUGACUGGGAGUGGAGGAACCCCCUCCUGAGCUUUCUUGUGGGGGUCCCUCCUCCCCAGGGCACUCCUCAGCCCCUGAGCCAGCCGAGAGGAAGGAGGCCAGCGAUGCGACUGGGGCAGCUCCUUUCUCCUGCACCCCAAAUGUGAGGGAUGCACCCCAAAUUUUGCUCCUUUCAAAAUAGGGGACCAGGAUCUCAGGGGAGAGUAGCUGAGUCCUCAAGGGGAUUCUAACAAAACUAGCAACAAAGUAGGAAAGAUGAGCUGGAAAGGAGUCCUGAGAAAGAUGGAACAACGGGUAAGGAGGAAGAAAGCUGCCCACCCCAUUCUCUGCCAGCCACCCUCCCUCACACUGUCCGUUCCUUGAUGACACAGCUGAUGUGAUUAAGAUCGUCCCCAAAUCGCUUCA
Long non-coding RNA from Nycticebus coucang (slow loris), 421 nucleotides. RefSeq lists it as uncharacterized. The record is from RefSeq and is a predicted model, not a curated record. The transcript is spliced from 2 exons. NCBI's taxonomy places the organism in Eukaryota, Metazoa, Chordata, Mammalia, Primates, Lorisidae.